UAAAAUAAUUAAGGGCACACAAAGGAUGCCUAGGUAGUAAGAGCCGAUGAAGGACGUGGUAAGCUGCGAUAAGCCUAGAUAAGUUGCAAUCGAACGUAAGAGUCUAGGAUUUCCGAAUGGAGCAAUCUAUUAAGAUGGAGUCUUAAUACGAAAGAGGGAACCGCGUGAACUGAAACAUCUAAGUAACGCGAGGAAAAGAAAGUAAAAACGAUACCCAAAGUAGCGGCGAGCGAAAUGGGUCAAGCCUAAACCUUAAAUAUGUCAAGGAUACAGCCGUUGUAUUUAAGGGGUUGAGGGACAGAGUAGUGAAGAACUGUAAGAUAUUCAAUAUAGUGUAUUGAUGAAUUGGAAUUGUCUGGAAAGGCGAACCGUAGAAGGUGAAAGUCCUGUACAAGUAAAUCCUUACACAUAUAACUCUGCUCCCAAGUAACAUGGAACACGAGGAAUUCUGUGUGAAUCUGUGAGGACCAUAUCUCAUAAGGCUAAAUACUCUUACUAACCGAUAGCGCAUAGUACCGUGAGGGAAAGGUGAAAAGAACCCCUGGAGGGGAGUGAAAUAGAACCUGAAAUUGUGUGCUUACAAGCGGUCAGAGCCAGUAAUGGUGAUGGCGUGCCUUUUGGAGAAUGAUCCUGCGAGUUACGUUAAACGGCGAGGUUAAGUAUAACGGAGCCGAAGGGAAACCAAGUCUUAAUAGGGCGAUUUAGUCGUUUGGCGUAGACGCGAAACCUGGUGAUCUAAACCUGUCCAGGAUGAAGCUGUGGUAAGACACAGUGGAGGUCCUAACCCACCGCCGUUGAAAAGUUGGGGGAUGAGGUAGGUUUAGGGGUGAAAAGCCAAUCGAACCAGGAGAUAGCUCGUUCUCUCCGAAAUGUAUCUAGGUACAGCCUUGAGUGUUCAAUUAUGGGGGUAGAGCACUGAAUGAUCUAGGGGGCGUAUUGCUUACUGAAAUCAAUCAAACUCCGAAUACCAUAAUUUAUAGCUCAGGAGUGAGACUAUGGGAGUUAACUUCCAUUGUCGAAAGGGAAACAACCCAGACCACCAGCUAAGGUCCCUAAUUAUAACUAAGUGGGAAAGGAGGUGGAGAUUCACAAACAACUAGGAGGUUGGCUUAGAAGCAGCCAUACCUUUAAAGAGUGCGUAAUAGCUCACUAGUCGAGAGUCUCUGCGCCGACAAUGUAACGGGGCUAAGUUAUAAACCGAAGCUGUGGAAUCCGUAAGGAUUGGUAGGAGAGCGUUCUGUAGGCCGUUGAAGGAGAAGGGUAACCGACUCUGGAGGUAUCAGAAGUGAGAAUGCAGGAAUAAGUAGCGAGAAAGGGGGCGAGAAUCCCCCUCGCCGGAAGACCAAGGUUUUCAGGGUAAAGCUUGUCUUCCCUGAGUAAGCCGGGACCUAAGCCCAGGCUAUAAUGCGUAGGCGAAUGGAAAACAGAUUAAUAUUUCUGUGCCAGUCAUAUAUUGUGAUGGAGGGACGCAGAAGGGUAUGCGCGCGGACGAACGGAAGUGUCCGUAGAAGUAUGUAGGAUGACUUGAUAGGAAAAUCCAUUGAGUUAUAUCUGAGGUAUGAUAUACAGUCGUAAGAUGAAUGCGCAAAUCCCACGCUGCCAAGAAAAGCUUCUAACGUUAAUAUUUGACUGCCCGUACUGCAAACCGACACAGGUGGUCAGGAUGAGAAAUCUAAGGCGGACAGGCUAACUCUCGUUAAGGAACUCUGCAAAAUAACCUCGUAACUUCGGGAGAAGAGGAGCCCUUGAGGGUCAGUAUCCACGCGAUACAAAGCGCUCGAGGGUCGCAGUGAAGAGGCUCAAGCAACUGUUUAACAAAAACACAGGUCUAUGCUAAGCUGGAAGGCGAUGUAUAUGGGCUGACACCUGCCCAGUGCUGGAAGGUUAAGAGGAGGAGUGAGAGCUCCGAAUUGAAGCCCCAGUGAACGGCGGCCGUAACUAUAACGGUCCUAAGGUAGCGAAAUUCCUUGUC
Molecule: ribosomal RNA, 1972 nt
Filed under: human metagenome
Description: bacterial LSU rRNA
Rfam family: Bacterial large subunit ribosomal RNA
Source: RNAcentral